RNAcentral lists this ribosomal RNA (326 nucleotides) under uncultured eukaryote. RNAcentral describes it as "partial 18S ribosomal RNA". It matches the Rfam family "Eukaryotic small subunit ribosomal RNA", at positions 1470 to 1796 of the family's 1831-position model. The record is from RNAcentral.
CCCUUAGAUGUUCUGGGCCGCACGCGUGCUACACUGAUGCAUUCAACGAGUCUAAAACCUGGUCUGAUAGGGCUGGGUAAUCUUUUGAAAGUGCAUCGUGAUUGGGAUAGAUGAUUGCAAUUCUUCAUCUUCAACGAGGAAUUCCUAGUAAGCGCGAGUCAUCAGCUCGUGCUGAUUACGUCCCUGCCCUUUGUACACACCGCCCGUCGCUCCUACCGAUUGAGUGCUCAGGUGAAUAAUUCGGACUGCAGCAAUGUUUGGAUCCCGAACGUUGCAGCGGAAAGUUUAGUGAACCUUAUCACUUAGAGGAAGGAGAAGUCGUAACA